This 497-nucleotide ribosomal RNA is filed under the name uncultured bacterium. RNAcentral describes it as "partial 16S ribosomal RNA". It matches the Rfam family "Bacterial small subunit ribosomal RNA", at positions 28 to 507 of the family's 1533-position model. The record is from RNAcentral.
GAUGAACGCUGGCGGCGUGCCUAAUACAUGCAAGUCGAGCGAACAGACGAGGAGCUUUCUCCUCGUACGUUAGCGGCGGACGGGUGAGUAACACGUGGAUAACCUACCUAUAAGACUGGGAUAACUUCGGGAAACCGGAGCUAAUACCGGAUAAUAUAUUGAACCGCAUGGUUCAAUAGUGAAAGACGGUUUUGCUGUCACUUAUAGAUGGAUCCGCGCCUCCUUAGCUAGUUGGUAAGGUAACGGCUUACCAAGGCAACGAUGCGUAGCCGACCUGAGAGGGUGAUCGGGCACCCUGGACCUGCGCCACGGUCCACACUCCUACGGGAGGCACCCUUAGCGACUCUUUCGCAAUGGGCGAAAGCCUGACGGGGCCACGCCGCGUGUGUGAUGACGGUCUUCGGAUCGGAAGCCUCUUGUAUUAGGGGAGAACAAAUGUGUAAGUAACUAUGCACGUCUUGACGGUACCCACUCAGAGAGCCACGGCUAACUACGUG